ACUCCUACGGGAGGCAGCAGUGGGGAAUAUUGCACAAUGGGCGCAAGCCUGAUGCAGCCAUGCCGCGUGUGUGAAGAAAGGCCUUCGGGUUGUAAAGCACUUUCAGUUGUGAGGAAGGUGGUGUCGUUAAUAGCGGCAUCAUUUGACGUUAGCAACAGAAGAAGCACCGGCUAACUCCGUGCCAGCAGCCGCGGUAAUACGGAGGGUGCGAGCGUUAAUCGGAAUUACUGGGCGUAAAGCGCAUGCAGGUGGUUUGUUAAGUCAGAUGUGAAAGCCCGGGGCUCAACCUCGGAACUGCAUUGAAACUGGCAGACUAGAGUACUGUAGAGGGGGUAGAAUUCAGGUGUAGCGGUGAAAUGCGUAGAGAUCUGAAGGAAUACCGGUGGCGAAGGCGGCCCCCUGGACAGAUACUGACACUCAGAUGCGAAAGCGUGGGGAGCAAACAGGAUUAGAUACCCUGUAGCAC
This 466-nucleotide ribosomal RNA is filed under the name uncultured bacterium. RNAcentral describes it as "bacterial SSU rRNA". It matches the Rfam family "Bacterial small subunit ribosomal RNA", at positions 335 to 796 of the family's 1533-position model. The record is from RNAcentral.